RNAcentral lists this ribosomal RNA (774 nucleotides) under uncultured Neocallimastigales. Its description in RNAcentral is "partial large subunit ribosomal RNA". It matches the Rfam family "Eukaryotic large subunit ribosomal RNA", at positions 24 to 645 of the family's 3401-position model. Lineage: Eukaryota; Fungi; Neocallimastigomycota; Neocallimastigomycetes; Neocallimastigales. The record is from RNAcentral.
UAUCUCUGUAGAGUCUGCAUAUCAAUAAGCGGAGGAAAAGAGACUAACAAGGAUUCCCUUAGUAACGGCGAGUGAAGCGGGAAGAGCUCAAAUUUGAAAUCUUCAAGGUUCUACCUUGACGAAUUGUAGUUUAUAGAAGUGUUUUCUGUUAGUAGAGUGGCAAAAGUUCUUUGGAAUAGGACAUCAUAGAGGGUGAGAAUCCCGUAUUUGGUCAUUCUUUCUAGCUUUGUGAUACACUUUCAACGAGUCGGAUUGUUUGGGAAUGCAGUCCAAAAUGGGUGGUAAAUUUCAUCUAAAGCUAAAUAUUGGCGAGAGACCGAUAGCGAACAAGUACCGUGAGGGAAAGAUGAAAAGAACUUUGAAAAGAGAGUUAAACAGUACGUGAAAUUGUCAAAAGGGAAGCGUUUGACACCAGUGUUGUUUUUCCGAAAAUCAAUUACGAAUGUUUUGUUUUUGAGAAGUUAUGACUUCAUCGGCUUGCUUCUCUCUUUACGAAACUUUCUUAAUGCACUUUUCGGUUAACAAGUCAACAUCAAUUUCUUUUGUUGUAAAAGGGUAUGAGGAAGGUGGCUUUCUUUUCGGAGAAAGUGUUUAUAGCCUUUGACUUCUGCAAUCGGAGAGAUUGAGGUCUGCAGCGUAGAUCCUUCGGGGUUAGAUGCAUUUGUGCUAAGUUAUAGCUUUCAUAGACAACUUGUUGACUAUGAUUUAGUCAUUGUAGCUUACUCGCUUAUGCUAUUUUACCUACGCUUAGGAUGUUGAUGUGAUACUGCGAGC